Molecule: non-coding RNA, 46 nt
Organism: Octopus bimaculoides (California two-spot octopus)
Lineage: Eukaryota; Metazoa; Mollusca; Cephalopoda; Octopoda; Octopodidae
Source: Rfam
AAAAAGGCCCUUUUAAGGGCCACCAACGCCAUUUUGAUUUUAUACU